This 466-nucleotide ribosomal RNA is filed under the name uncultured bacterium. RNAcentral's name for it is "bacterial SSU rRNA". It matches the Rfam family "Bacterial small subunit ribosomal RNA", at positions 27 to 507 of the family's 1533-position model. The record is from RNAcentral.
GGACGAACGCUGGCGGCGUGCUUAACACAUGCAAGUCGAACGAUGAAGCCCAGCUUGCUGGGUGGAUUAGUGGCGAACGGGUGAGUAACACGUGGGUGAUCUGCCCUGCACUCUGGGAUAAGCCUGGGAAACUGGGUCUAAUACCGGAUAUGACCUCUUGCUGCAUGGCGAGGGGUGGAAAGUUUUUCGGUGCAGGAUGAGCCCGCGGCCUAUCAGCUUGUUGGUGGGGUAAUGGCCUACCAAGGCGACGACGGGUAGCCGGCCUGAGAGGGCGACCGGCCACACUGGGACUGAGACACGGCCCAGACUCCUACGGGAGGCAGCAGUGGGGAAUAUUGCACAAUGGGCGAAAGCCUGAUGCAGCGACGCCGCGUGAGGGAUGACGGCCUUCGGGUUGUAAACCUCUUUCAGCAGGGACGAAGCGAAAGUGACGGUACCUGCAGAAGAAGCACCGGCCAACUACGUG